UACAGAGGUCUCGAGCGUUGUUCGGAUUCAUUGGGCGUAAAGGGUGCGUAGGUGGCGGGGUAAGUCAGAUGUGAAAUCCCGGGGCUCAACCCCGGAACUGCAUUUGAUACUGCCUUGCUCGAGUACUGGAGAGGAGACUGGAAUUUACGGUGUAGCAGUGAAAUGCGUAGAUAUCGUAAGGAAGACCAGUGGCGAAGGCGAGUCUCUGGACAGUUACUGACACUGAGGCACGAAGGCCAGGGGAGCAAACGGG
RNAcentral lists this ribosomal RNA (253 nucleotides) under uncultured bacterium. Its description in RNAcentral is "partial 16S ribosomal RNA". It matches the Rfam family "Bacterial small subunit ribosomal RNA", at positions 524 to 776 of the family's 1533-position model. The record is from RNAcentral.